GACGAACGCUGGCGGCGUGCCUAAUACAUGCCAGUAGAACGCUGAAGGAGGAGCUUGCUUCUCUGGAUGAGUUGCGAACGGGUGAGUAACGCGUAGGUAACCUGCCUGGUAGCGGGGGAUAACUAUUGGAAACGAUGGCUAAUACCGCAUAAUAGUAGAUGUUGCAUGACAUUUGCUUAAAAGGUGCAGUUGCAUCACUACCAGAUGGACCUGCGUUGUAUUAGCUAGUUGGUGAAGUAAUGGCUCACCAAGGCAACGAUACAUAGCCGACCUGGGAGGGUGGUCGGCCACACCGGGACUGAGACACGGCCCAGACUCCUACGGGGGGCAGCAGUAGGGAAUCUUCGGCAAUGGACGGAAGUCUGACCGAGCAACGCCGCGUUAGUUAAGAAGGUUUUCGGAUCGUAAAGCUCUGUUGUAAGAGAAGAACGAGUGUGAUAGUGGAAAGUUCACACUGUGACGGUAUCUUACCAGAAAGCGACGGCUAACUACGUG
RNAcentral lists this ribosomal RNA (495 nucleotides) under uncultured bacterium. Its description in RNAcentral is "partial 16S ribosomal RNA". It matches the Rfam family "Bacterial small subunit ribosomal RNA", at positions 28 to 507 of the family's 1533-position model. The record is from RNAcentral.